Molecule: long non-coding RNA, 2764 nt
Filed under: Capsicum annuum
Lineage: Eukaryota; Viridiplantae; Streptophyta; Magnoliopsida; Solanales; Solanaceae
Description: long non-coding RNA (CANN_LNC007777)
Source: RNAcentral
GUGCAAAAAAAUACUAUUAAUACACAAGAUACUUCAGAAUGACUCCUGCAAUGUGCGAUUUAAAUUAGUCGAGAUUUUAAAUGCGGACACUAAACACUGAGUGAAAAAAAAAGAUAUAAAACUCUUUUUUUUUUUUUUUUAUGAAAGGCAAUAAAGAAAAGGAAGAACCUUCUUACAAGCCAAAUAACCCCAAAUCCCAAAAAACCAAAACCACUUUUUUCAUAGUAUACCAUUUGAUAGACAUUUGACAGCACUUCAGCAACUGCACUGUCUCAGUACUCUGCGAACCAAACAUCCACAAGAAACCAAACCACAAAAUUCUCCCUAUAUAUAUCUUAUCUCUUCUUCUUUACUCCAUCUAUCCUAUUUUUUAUAUGUUGAAGUUGGAAUUUGAGAGAUAUUUUGAUAUAGACAUGGGGUUGGUAGUUGAAAUGUGUUGUAACUCAAGGUUGGUUUUGUUGUAUAGGAAGAGGAAGUUGAGGAGCACUUUCUUGAAAUUCAAAGCACAAUUCUUGAAUCAAAAGAAGAAGAACAACAAGUUGAGUUUUCACUAUGAUCCUUUAAGUUAUGCACUCAACUUUGACAAUGGCAACUUUGGUUUCUUUUGCUUGUAAUAUUUAUUAUCACUUAACCCCACCCCCACCCCAACAACCCCCAACCCCACCAAAAACAUUAUGAAGAAUUUUGAUGUCUUUUUUUUCAUAUGGUUAGUUGCUGACUAGUUUAAUUUUCUCUAGCUAGCUUUAAAAUGAUGUAAGGAGGACUAAUGACAAGUUUAAGAAGUGCUUUGUAUAUUAUGUUUGUGUAUGUCUAGUUCAAUUUUUCAACUUAAUGGUAGAUUAAUCUUUAUUAAUAUCUAUUUUUUUUUCAAGAAUUUUUAUGUUUUUAGAUGACAAGUUUAAUUCCUCUCUAGCUAGCUUCAAAAGGUUAAUUAUAUUCCUCUAUACUUUAACUUAGUAUUCUAGAUGAAUAUUUUAUUAAUUUGUCACAUGAGUUGGAUAUGUGAAGGGGAAAAAAGCAUAUGCAUUAGUAACUUCUUCGCAUAAUUAAUUAAUUACUAUUUAUUAGAUUUUGUCAAAAAUUGUGAUGUUGAUAUUUUUAGAUGACUUGUUUAGUUCUUUUCCAGCUUCAAAAUGUUGGAUUUUCUAUUCUAUUUCUAGUUUAUUUUCAACUUAAUGGUAGACUAAUCUAGACUAAUCUUUGUUACCCCUUUUGUCACAUGAACUAAUGUGCAAAAAAAAAAUCUGCGCACUAGCCACUAGUGAAUUCUUUGUUUAAUUAAGGUAAUUCGAAUAUUACAAGGUUUGUUCUACCAUCUCUAAACCAAGAAAAAGGAAAUUGUUAAAGAGAAAUGAAAUAUUAAAAACAUUUCUUUUGUUGUUAAUUAAUGUGUUUUUUUUUUGGUGAAGGUUAAUUAAUGUGUUAAUAUAACGACUCUGGUAUAAUUAUUAAGGUAGUUUUUUUUUUUCUUUUUGGAUCUAGGUUUGUAUUGAUUUAUCUCGUGAGUUUUAAAUUCGAAAAGGGUCCCGAUAUUUGAUUCUGAAUUAUUGAAUAAAUUUUUUAGCUUCUUUUCUUCAUUUUAAUGUGUGAUUCGCCUAAGAUGUAAUAUACAAUAUUGAAUUAGUGGCGUGAUAUAACUUCUAUAGUUAAAUAGAAAAAAUAAUAAUUACUCUCUCCAUUUCAAAUUAUUCGUUUUAAAUUGAGAUGACAUAUUAAUUAAGAAAAAUAAUUAAUAACAUGAUUAAUUUAUCAUAGUACUCCUAUUAAAUGAUAUUUACAUUUUAAUUUGAAGAAAAAAUAAUUAAUGCAAAGGGAAAACAUGAAAUUUUUUUUUUUUUAUCUUUUCUUAAUUAAUAAAAAAAGACAAGUAAAAUGGAAAAUCAAAUUAAAAAAUUUGAGACUAAGGAAAUAUCUAUUUAGAGACAUACUAGUAGCAAUAAAUUUAGUAACUACUCCCUCCAUUUCAUUUUACUCGUUCCAAAUUUUUUAAUUUAUUGUUUUAUUUUACUUGUUCGUUUUUACUUAUCAAGACAAAAUAAAUUUUUUUCCCAUUAUACCCUUAGUGUAAUUGAUUACUACUUAUUAUUAGCAUUUUUGAAAAAUAUUGCAAAGGAGGAGUGUCAUUAAGAGUACACCAUUAAAAAUAUAAAUGGUGCUUUAGUAUUAGCCAUUCAUCAAUAUUGGAACUAACAACAAGACACAAUUAAGAGGGGUAAAAUGGUAAAGUUAUAUUACCAAUCAUUGUUUUUUUAAUAGUUGUGUUAUCCUAAUUUGGAACGAAUAAAAUAGGACGGAGGGAGUAAUAUUUUAUUUUUUAAAAAUUGUCUUAUAAAAGGACAACAUUUUCCGUUUCAUUUAAAAAAUUAAGGAACUUUGACUAACUAGCUAUAAGAUAAAACCAUUGUGAAGUUUUGUUUUUAUGAAAAAAAUACAAAUUACUCAUUGUCUUUUCUAUUUUGGAAUCUUUCAAAGAAAAAGAUAUUUUGCCUUAUGGAAUCAGUUGAAGAAUCUGAUCCUUUUUGAGAUCAUCAGCUUUUCAAAUCAAUAAAAAGCUUAUCAAGCUUCCUAUUCAAGUAGUAUUGAAAACUUUAAGUUUGAAAUAUUUUUGUUAAAUAAAUUUCAUUGAAGGUUCAUAAUCAAUAUUUGAAUUGAUCAUGAAGUUGAAAUAUUUCUCUUUUUAAAAAAUUUACAUUUUAUAAUGCUUUUUCCUCUUAGAUUUCAAGAAGAUAAUGUCAAGUCUUUUCGGUACUAACGACUCGUAAUG